This 408-nucleotide ribosomal RNA is filed under the name uncultured bacterium. RNAcentral's name for it is "bacterial SSU rRNA". It matches the Rfam family "Bacterial small subunit ribosomal RNA", at positions 350 to 750 of the family's 1533-position model. The record is from RNAcentral.
AGCAGUGGGGAAUAUUGGACAAUGGGCGAAAGCCUGAUCCAGCCAUGCCGCGUGUGUGAAGAAGGUCUUCGGAUUGUAAAGCACUUUAAGUUGGGAGGAAGGGCAUUAACCUAAUACGUUAGUGUUUUGACGUUACCGACAGAAUAAGCACCGGCUAACUCUGUGCCAGCAGCCGCGGUAAUACAGAGGGUGCAAGCGUUAAUCGGAAUUACUGGGCGUAAAGCGCGCGUAGGUGGUUUGUUAAGUUGGAUGUGAAAUCCCCGGGCUCAACCUGGGAACUGCAUUCAAAACUGACUGACUAGAGUAUGGUAGAGGGUGGUGGAGUUUCCUGUGUAGCGGUGAAAUGCGUAGAUAUAGGAAGGAACACCAGUGGCGAAAGCGACCACCUGGACUAAUACUGACACUGAG